GAUGAACGCUGGCGGCGUGCCUAAUACAUGCAAGUCGAGCGAACAGACGAGGAGCUUGCUCCUCUGACGUUAGCGGCGGACGGGUGAGUAACACGUGGAUAACCUACCUAUAAGACUGGGAUAACUUCGGGAAACCGGAGCUAAUACCGGAUAAUAUAUUUAACCGCAUGGUUCAAUAGUGAAAGACGGUUUUGCUGUCACUUAUAGAUGGAUCCGCGCCGCAUUAGCUAGUUGGUAAGGUAACGGCUUACCAAGGCGACGAUGCGUAGCCGACCUGAGAGGGUGAUCGGCCACACUGGAACUGAGACACGGUCCAGACUCCUACGGGAGGCAGCAGUAGGGAAUCUUCCGCAAUGGGCGAAAGCCUGAAGGAGCAACGCCGCGUGAGUGAUGAAGGUCUUCGGAUCGUAAAACUCUGUUAUUAGGGAAGAACAAAUGUGUAAGUAACUAUGCACGUCUUGACGGUACCUAAUCAGAAAGACACGGCUAACUACGUG
This 497-nucleotide ribosomal RNA is filed under the name uncultured bacterium. Its description in RNAcentral is "partial 16S ribosomal RNA". It matches the Rfam family "Bacterial small subunit ribosomal RNA", at positions 28 to 507 of the family's 1533-position model. The record is from RNAcentral.